UCUCUCUCUCUCUCUCUCUCUCUCGCUCUCUCUCUUCCUUCCCGCCCCGAGCCUGCCUUACCUUGGUGACGUUGACUGCUCACAUUGAAGCCCAUUAAAGGCGGAGCAGCUUCUUAAAAAAGGGUCAUCCUUUUUAGGCGGAAUUACAAAAUUCCCGGUAAUUUUAUGAUAAUUGUGCACGUACCCUGCGCAAAUAUGUCCGGACUCUUAUACCCCGUCCUUCGUCGGAGAGCAUCAAGCGGCCCCACCCAUGACAAUAAGUGAUAGCAUAAAGGAGGGGGGUACAUCGGUCUUUUUACUCUAGUGUGGCGCCACCUCCACACAAGUGGCCAUACCAAAACUUCAUUUUCCUGGAAUGCACGAGGAAAAUAAAAAUAAACAGUGGACAUAUGUAGCCAUCUAGAUAAAGUUUCGAUUUUUUGAAUUCUAAUAUAUGUAUUUAUUUAUCUUGCCCUUGUCUCAACUUUGCCAACUCCAAAGCAUAGUUAAAUUAAAAAUUUAAGAAUCUCCCCACUCGAUGGUGAC
RNAcentral lists this long non-coding RNA (525 nucleotides) under Spirodela polyrhiza (greater duckweed). RNAcentral's name for it is "long non-coding RNA (SPOL_LNC000496)". Lineage: Eukaryota; Viridiplantae; Streptophyta; Magnoliopsida; Alismatales; Araceae. The record is from RNAcentral.